AACAGCCAUGUGAUCACGGAUAAUCCCACAGCAAGCACUGAGGCUCCAGGUGGGUAUCAAAGAUCAUAGAAUCAGAGACUAGCUUAGGUUGGAGAAGACCAUCGAUCUGAUGCCCUGGGAACCUAUUUGAUCACUGGCUUGUCAAGCCCGGCUGCAGCUGCAGGACCAAAUGAAAAUACACUACAGCAAUAACAACAACAACAAAUGACAGCAGCAAAAACCACAGCACUAAUAAUGUCUGUGCCUUUUAUUUGUGGGCUCGCUCAUUCAUUGGUAGCUAAUGCAUAUCUAAUAACUGCUAUUUCCAAUGGCCAUUAAGAUGUUCAAAAGCUUAUUAGGGGCAGAGUUAUUGCAUGGCCAGGGAGGAACCACCUUCUGUGCCUGAUUAGCACAGAGCUCAGCUUGUGCCCCCAAUCACACACUGCACCUGUGAGCCUCUUCCCAAGUCGCCCAGCAAUUGCCAUGAGCUCAUGGGCUCUCCCAAAAGCAGAGCUCCCCCUAUUCCUAAUGAGCCUCAUUUGUUCAAUACCAAGGCAAACAGCCAUUUCUUACAGGCAAUUACCCUACAUUUCCAAACGCACAAACACUAGGCUUGCAAAACUUAAGAAGUGUGUCAGACCACGGCUCUGAGAUGCAAUUUGCACUGAGUGACACUGGCUUGUAGAAACCUGCCUGCAUGAUUUGUGAUGCCAAAGGUUGCAAACUUACGCAAAACUAGUGAGCAAAAAUAAAACCCGUUUUCUUAUCACUGUUUUCUGCCUAAUCCUUGGGAAUGUGGUCUCUGCCCAGCUCAUGUGACAUACGGAGGGCAGCAGAAGGCAAGGGGGAUGCUCACGAGAGCAGGAAGUUUCUCAGUAGUUGUGCUGGAAUUUACAUCACGGUUGAAGAGUGAAUUCGUAUGUGGGCACAUCCAUCAUCUGCUGUGGCUUUUCCCCCACCAAACCCAUGUGAUUUUCUUAAGCCCUGUUUGUAAGAGCCAUACAGCACACGGCAGCACUGCCAUGCCCGACCCUCCUGCCAGGAGGCACCGUGUGUGGGUGCACCUCUGUGAACUUGUGCAAGAUCUGCUCUUGCAAAGGGGUGGGAGCCUGAAUUGCCCAAGGCACAGUGUGAGAACUGCUGCAGGAAUGCAGAGUAUUUGGGGCUGCUGAGCCUUCAUAUCAGCCAUUUUAUUUAUUCUCCUAUUAGGAAACAAUAGUAAAGCAGAAGAGAUGUUAUGUACUGUUACACACACCAAUCUUGCUAUCUACUAAUGGCAAAGAAACAGAAGAGCAGUGUUAGGAACCUAUGUGGUACCAGAACCCACAAGGCUUUGGCACCAGCAUGCCUGGGCUGGUGGUUGUCCUGCCUGCUGUGAGGAAAUGAUUUAACCACGUUCUGCUGGGACAGACCUUGUGCUGUGUUGCCAUUACAAACGUACGUCUUCAAAGAGAUUUCAGCCUGUUCCUUUCUAUGAGAACACACAUCACCUCAGCCUGGAGCCUUAAUUCACCCUUCUCUACCCUGGGGUGACACCAUCAGAGCCUAUCAGCCUCCUGGCGAUCUCAUUCCUGCCCCCUCUGACUGCAAAUUCUCCUUCAGGGUCACAAAGAACUCUCUGAUCCUCCAGGACCUGCCAGCUCCUGGCACUGCCCCAAUGGAUCUGACCAGGGCUUGCUGUGUGUCAGCCUUCACCUGGGGAGGAGGAGACCCUCCCUAAGAGCUGCACUGCCCGGAGCACAAUCCACAGCACAUCUCUGCCUAAUAGUAGCUCAAGGCUGUGGAGCUGCUCUCCUGCAGCCAGAGCCUUCUGGUGACUUUUCUCCCACUGAUUUUAUCAAGUUCAGAGGUUUCUCUCCAAAGCCUCAGGCUUUCCUACAGGCUUCUGCACAAAAACACCAAGGCUCUUUUCAGAGAAAACAAGUUUCCAAAUCAGCUUUUUUUUCUUUUUUAACAUGCUUUCUUGGAAGGACUUUGGAAGGACGCAGAAAGACUGGAACAGUGAGACAAGAUGGCAGAAGAGCCCAGCAGGAACCAAAGGGAACAGGACCCAAAAGAAUAAUGAGAGAAUAUAAAAGCUGAGGAUUUUUUGAGGGGAAAAGGGAAAGAAAAAGAAAACAAGAUUAAAAAGACAAAACAAUGGAAGAAUGAAGAGGGGAAUAGUAUAAGAAAAGGCACAGCAGGUGCUGUCACGCAGCCAAAGCGCUUUGAACCUCUGGCAUAACCAUCUCCCCUGUGGUUACACGCUGAUGUCAUAAAUUCAGAAUUAUGAUGACAAUGGAAGCUGCUGAAAAGGAGAAGCUGGGCAGGAAGGAAGGAGCCCCAUAAUGCUGACAUUUAUCUUCUUGAGAAACUGAAUCCUGAAUGAACAGCCCAGGCAAUUGAUUUUGCAGGGAAAACGUGCUUUCUUCAGUCUGCCUCCAGCAGGCACUUCCCUCUUUAACAUGUCUCAGAAGCACAAGGACGAUGACAAAACCAUCCAACAUGGCUGCAAAACUGAUCCAGCCUGUUAGUUUUUGUUCCUAUCCCCGAUGACAGCACAGCCUGAAGGAGAUUUCUCUAGUCUGCAGUCUGGAAUCUAGAACAAACUUAGCACAUACAGUGCUGAAAACUGGACUCCACAGAACAGCUGAACUUCCUUCCUUCUGGUUAAAACUCCAGGUAAUUCCACAGGUGACGUUUAGAAAUGAGCCGGCACUGGCACAAAUGAGAACAGGUCUACUAAAUUUAGUGCUAGAUGGGAGUUUUCUCCAAGCUGCCCUCAAUGUAAAUUAUCACAAUCAAUGUUUUAUUUAAAGAAAGUUGUUCCAUUAGGAAAAAUGAAACUACAGCAAAACUGUAUGAAUGCAGAGAAACAUAAAUCCCUCUCGACAGGAACACAAACCGCUGACGUUCUUACUCAUCUGGCAGUCAACUACACUCAUUCAGAAUCAGACAGACCCUGUUUCAGUUGUACUCACUCUCAAGAUCUGGUUCCUCACCUCCCACCUUUGGGGCUAUGCAGGGACCUGGAGCAUCUCUUCUGCGGGGCGGCCCUCUGCAAGGUGAGCAGCAUGGAAACGAUGAGGCUGCUACAGCACAGAGAGGAAUCCAGGCCAGUAAUGGAAGGAAAAGGCUGCUAUUUAGGCUUCUCACAAGUCUGUUUUUAUCACUAGUAAUUAAAGUGACAUUUUCCAUGCCAUCUGUAGAAAUUUUGAGGGUGCAGCCGAGUGAUCUGUCAACAGCGCUGGUUCCAGGGAUGUAGGAGAAAAAAACAACAGCUCCUGCUUCUCUGAGCUUGAGGAAAGGAAAAGUGGCAGCCUUUGCAGGAAAGGGGCUCCAGUCUCUUAUGAACUCUUGUCACCUGAAUCACUUUGAAGGGAAAGAGCAUAUUCUAAAUUUAAUUCUUUUGAAGAAUAGAUUUAACGAGCUUCUUAUAUAGGAAACACGACCUUGUAUUAAUUAAAGUAGCUUAAAAAAAAUACACUACCACCAAAUGUUUUCUUCGUGGUAUUUUAGCAUUUGAAAUGCAUGUUUUUUUUCUAAUUCACUAGCAUUGAAAAGGUAUUCAUUUCUUCUUACACUUCUCUCUUCUAUGUGCUUUAGCUUUUUGGUAGGUUUGUUUAAUACAGCACCUGAUUUUAUGGAGCUCAUCUGCAGAAAAUCAACACCUGCCGGAUUUUUAACAGCUUGUCAAACCUCAGCACUACCGUCAAUAUAUUAGUGAUAAUUAAUAUCCAGUUAAUAAUUCAAGUAAAACAUAUAAUUAAGUAGAGCAAGGCUGUAGUUUUGCUAUAAUGUUUGCCCUUUGGGAAUAAAAUAAAUAUCUGAAAAUAGUCAUAGGAGAUAAACAAAGCACAUGUAUUGCUUUCUGAAUGCUUUCAGACUGAGUUAACAGCUACCUUCAGCUCCAGGAGGUGAUCACUCAAAAAUUCUCAUGCUCGGGAAUAUAUAAGAACCUCAUUUUGGGCAAAUGUGGCAGAUUUACACCAAUAGAAAGAAACAUGGAAGGAGGGUGGGGAGGAAGGAGCUGAAAGGAGAAGCAAAGUCACAGAUAUUGAUGGUCUGGAGUCAAAGCAGCAGCACAAAUAAGGAUGCAAUAGGAAAACAGGAGUUCAGCCCCCAAAUGGACACUAGUUUUUUAAGCAGUUAAGGAGAGCAAGAUGUGCAGGCAACAUGUAACUAAGGUGGACGUGUUCUGGGAGCUGAAGAGCAAUGUUUGAUGUGAGGGAAAGAGAAGCAGAAAACAAGAACUGAAGCCUAAGAAAGCUGAAAGGGACAAGCUGAAUGUUUCAUAGAUGACAGCAACGACGAUGAAUCUCCUUUUUAAGCAAUCUAAACCUGCUCCAGUCAAGUUCAGAGGCAUAGAAGGGUGUGAAGCCCAGCCAUUCCUCCAAGCUUGAGAGCUAUCCUGUAUGGAAAGGCAGAAAAAAAAGACAACUGCUGCAGAAACAGCAUCAGAUGAAGGAACAUAGACAUAAGAGUCCUAAUUGCUGCUGAAAGAUUGAAAUAAGUUGAGAGAGAAACCCUUUCUUUCCCCUGGUCGGGUGGGGGGGGAGGGUAUGGAGGAAAGGAUGUUCCUGAGAAAAAUAGAUGCAAAGAACUGAAGAACAAGGGUAGAAAAACAGGGAAGAGCUGAAGAUUAUACAUAACAGUAGUUACAUUGUGUAGAAUUUCCUGGGUAAUGCAAAUAACUUUAACUGUCAUCAAACGGAUAUUUGGCUCCAAAAGUUACCAUUUGCCAGUUCUGCUAAUAACAUUUAUCUUGCUUUAAUAGAGGAACAAAGAGAUACUGAACAGUGAAAGUCAGAAACAGAGGAGCAGUAGGAACUCAUAUGGGAUGGGGCUGUUGAUAAUCCCCUUUGGUUAGUAUCCCUAGGAAUAAAUUCAGUUAUUUCUUCAAAGGAAUAAUAGCUUAAAGUGAAGAAGGGGAUCCCAAAUACUACCACAGAGGAGCACAGGAAAUAAGAGGUGGAAAAGGAACAGCCAAAUCAACUGGCAGCUCUGCUGCAACAAGACACCUACAAUUCUGAAAGCAAAAAACCCUGAAAGUGCUAAAGCAAAACAAUUAAGAAGCAUGAGGCAUGGUGACAAUUAACUAGCUAUCUAAACAAAACAUGGUAUUUGAAUAUUAUGGCUUCUUUGGACUGGAUUAACAUUAGGAAGAGCAGAAAUAUGCCUUAAACUCACAGAUGUCAAACAGAGGGAGAUGGAUGUUGCCACUGAAAGAAGCUGCUCCACUACUACUCUGUUCAUGUACUUCCUUCUUCACAUUGCAGCUUCCUCUGCCUCAGUACAAGCAUUCAUACAGCCACAUAGGUAAACCUGAAAUAAUACUGCUGUUUUGUAAUUCUCCUAAUGUAGCUAAUGUAUAAGCUCCAUUAACUCCUGUACUGCUGCUGUAUGGGGCAGGAAUAAGAAGCUGGGAGUAAAACCUCUUCAGUGACAGCGCUAAAUAAUGUCAGUCUAAAGUGACUGACAUGAUGGCUUCAUUCUUACCUGAGGACGAGCUCCUAACACAAGGAAGUGUCAGGAGUUCUUGCUGCAAACAUCACCCCAUGCAGUGGAACAACAUUCUUCUGCCAGUCAAGCACUGAGAAAUAACUGGUAUCUACUUGCAGGCAAACCAAGAAAGCCUACAGGUGAAAGCAAGCAGUACGUACUUCUCCCUUCCUGUGGAAACAGAGCUUCAGUCUCUAUGUGCAGAGUUCACGUUCUCAGACACAUGCUAAUGCAUGAAAUUAUGUAUCACAAUAUUUUAUUCCCAAAUACUUCCAAAAACUACUCUAAUCUCAAAUUCACAAAUGUACAUCAUCAGGUAAAAGCCCGUCUCUUCUAUUAUUUAACGUUAAAGCAAAUAUAUUGUACCACACAGUAAGAAUACAGUGAAAAUUCAUUUUAAUACAUGUUUAUUGGUGUCCUGCACAUUCAGUGUAGGAGGUUGGAGAUGUAAUAAAAAAAAAAGUUUCAAAAUUUAUUGAUUCCAUUUCAUUUAAGUCACUCUAAACAACCAGUGCUUUAGAGUUCAGAGAGUUAACGUGUACUGUCCAUUAGGAGCAAAACUUUAAUAUCUUUUUCGAGUCCACUGAAGACUCCUCUCUCUUAAAAUUCAGAUACAUUCCUCAAAGUAAACAAUACAUUUCAAUCCGUGUCACAAUCACCACUGAUAAGGCCUUCUUAACCAUUUUAUACCACCUCCACUAUUACUUCAUUGCAAAACACAAUCUUAUUUCGUACUAUAAAUAUCCAUCCAUGCACAAAACACAGGGGGCCAGAAGUUACACAUUAAUAUUUCAUGUAGGUUUGAAGACUUCCUUUACCCUAUGCAGGUUUAUGGUACACUUAAAAAGAUAUCUUUAGACUUGGUCUACUUGGUCUUAAAAUACAAAUAUACAAUAUCCAUAAGCAUAAAAAAGUAAAGCUGGAUUGCCUUACAAUUUGUUAUGAACUGCUAAAAUCUUAUACAUGUACAAUAUAGCAUCAUGCUGAUUAAUAUACAUAUUAGUUAAAUAUAUCAACCAAUAAUGGGGAUGUGGUCAAGCUUUAUGUGUUUCAUUUGCAAAAAGAAAUUUGUCGUUUACAAAGUAUAAAGAUUUUUUUAAUUGAAACUUCUCCGGAAUACCUGAACCACAAAGGCCAUCUGUAAACCCUGCUGAGAUAGUCAGCUCAAACCAGGACGUAAUCUGCUGCUUCACUCCUCUGAAAGGGAAUAGAACUCUUCACAAGUGCUACUCAAAGCGUGCUACGCCCAAGAGAGCGUACAUCAAGAACACUACUAUUUGCAUCUUGUUUAUACUUUUUGCAUCGAUUCAUCAUCCUCUAUCAGAAGCAACUCAGUACCUUGACAUCACCAAAUAUUUUUCUAGGUAAGUAGAUAUACAGUACGAAGUGUAGAUAGUGAAACAAGUAAGCACAUAUAUACAGUUUUUGAAAGGCAUUUUCGUGACCAUUUUAGCAGUGUUUAUAGACAACAUUUAAGAUAGUCACAUUCCGCUGAUACCACUGUAUUGCAAACUGUCGAGCCACGUUUUUAUAUUCAACUUGUACUGCAUUGUAUAUUGUACACAAAAGAAAAACAAUCAUUCUUAAGGUGUGACAACAAAGGAAAAAAAAAAAAA
Molecule: long non-coding RNA, 7076 nt
Organism: Coturnix japonica (Japanese quail)
Lineage: Eukaryota; Metazoa; Chordata; Aves; Galliformes; Phasianidae
Source: RefSeq, a predicted model, not a curated record